CCUACGGGAGGCUGCAGUAGGGAAUAUUGCUCAAUGGGGGAAACCCUGAAGCAGCAACGCCGCGUGGAGGAUGAAGGUUUUCGGAUUGUAAACUCCUUUUGUUAGAGAAGAUAAUGACGGUAUCUAACGAAUAAGCACCGGCUAACUCCGUGCCAGCAGCCGCGGUAAUACGGAGGGUGCAAGCGUUACUCGGAAUCACUGGGCGUAAAGAGCGCGUAGGCGGGAUAGCAAGUCAGAUGUGAAAUCCUAGGGCUUAACCAUAGAACUGCUUUUGAAACUGUUAUUCUAGAGUAUGGGAGAGGUAGGUGGAAUUCUUGGUGUAGGGGUAAAAUCCGUAGAGAUCAAGAGGAAUACUCAUUGCGAAGGCGACCUGCUAGAACAUAACUGACGCUGAUGCGCGAAAGCGUGGGGAGCAAACAGGAUUAGAUACCCCGGUAGUC
Molecule: ribosomal RNA, 440 nt
Filed under: uncultured bacterium
Lineage: Bacteria
Description: partial 16S ribosomal RNA
Rfam family: Bacterial small subunit ribosomal RNA
Source: RNAcentral